Molecule: transfer RNA, 68 nt
Filed under: Anolis cybotes (large-headed anole)
Lineage: Eukaryota; Metazoa; Chordata; Lepidosauria; Squamata; Anolidae
Description: tRNA-Val
Rfam family: tRNA
About the family: Transfer RNA (tRNA) molecules are approximately 80 nucleotides in length.
Source: RNAcentral
CAAAAAGUAGCUUAAACAAAGCACUCAACUUACAAUUGAAAUAUGCUAGUUAAUUCUGGCCUUUUUGC